UGAGAGGGCCGCUCUCCUCUCUGUGGACCCUCGCCUUGCCGCCCGGCGGGGCCUGGGCUCGUUCCUCUGCUGCCCAGUCCAGUCCCCACUAACAAGCCUCACCACAUGUCCAGGAAGCCUGCCUGCGUGUCCUCAGAGCGGCCAGCGAGCGUGCGGCGGAACCCCCCUGCAGUGGGCUUCUCAUCCCUCUGGGUCCUCCCCUUACACCAGACAAUGCCUGGGGCUCCUCCCUCCCGCGAGCCCUCAGCCUAGCCUUGUGUCCCUCAGACUCCCGGCAGCGCCCGAAGCGCCACAGCUGACGGCCUGUGCUGGCGGCUUUCCAGGACCGCUGGCACAGGGGGGGGCGAAGCCUCUGCGGUGGAGGCCUCUCCCUCCUUCCUCAGGGGCCUCACCCAGAAGCUUGGCAGAGCGUAGGAAUCCUCUCUCUUCUGGUCUCAGUCUGCACGUCUCAGAGACAACCUCCUGUCCUGCAGACUCCUGAGGGCGCUGACAGGAUCCCUGCUCUGGGGUGGAAAAGCCACUCAGUCCUGGCUCAGAGUCCUCACCUUGACUCCGGCACUGCCUGGGCUGCUUCCCUCGUGGGCUCCAGAACAAGCCGAUGCUCCCCGAGAACAUCAAGGCAGAAGUGAGCGAACGUUAUGUCAGCUACAACGUGCCACGGCUGCGGAGGGUUGACAGUAGAGGCAGGCAAGCUACCCUCCCGCUCUGAGAUUGUAGGCAUACCCGCAGACUUGUCCGAGAACAAUGGGCUCCAUUUCUUCUUGAGCUUCCCAAAUCAUGGCACUGAAUCAUCUGAAAACUGAAUUUCAGUGAUUCACCUGGACCACCAAGAAGGGACACCACCACCCAUGAACAACUAGGUUUGAGCUUCCUGCGCUGUGCCCACACGGCCAGCAGGGGGCGCUCGAACCUGCUAUUGCUGCCCGCGUGGAGCGCAUGCGUGGUCGGAGCCAAUGCAUGGUCCUUCCGCAAUGUCGGUUUGUUGAAUUUCUACAGUUUGGUUAUAUUUUUAAGAAGGAAUUACCCUUGGUUAAUGUAGACAAAUGGAUCAUAUGAGUCUUUGAGUUUGCUUUUGUAGGAUUGUGUGUAUAUGGCAAAUACCAUUGUGUACAUUUGAAACAACUAAAACUUGAAAUACAGACAAAUUCAUAAACAGAAAUUCUUUUAUCAUCUUGAUAGAAACAUAAUUAUAUGUGAAUUACCUAGUAGCCAUAAUGCACUUUUAAUAAAGUAGUAAUUGUUAUGACCACAGAGUACAAUGGAAAAAUACAGAGUAGGAAAACCUGACCCUACAAUAUAUAUUUUAAUUUAUUUUUGGUAGAAAUCAUAUUUUUCAUCAUCCCUUUAUGUAUGGAACAGGGCAGAGUUUUUGACUUGGGUCAUUUUAUUUCUGCUGCUAACUAGCUUUUAAAAAUAUUCACAGCUUGGGCUUCCCUGGUGGUGCAGUGGUUGAAAAUCUGUCUACCAAUGCAGGGGACACGGGUUCGAGCCCUGGUCUGGGAAGAGCCCACAUGCUGCGGAGCAACUAGCCCCAUGAGCCACCAUUACUGAGCCUGCGCAUCUGGAGCCUGUGCUCCGCAACAAGAGAGGCCACAAUACUGAGAGGCCCGCGCACCACGAUGAGGAGUGGCCCCCACUUGCCACAACUAGAGAAAGCCCUUGCACAGAAACGAAGACCCAACACAGCCAUAAAUAAAUAAAUAAAAACUAAAAAAUAUAUUCACAGCUUUUUUGAGGUAUAAAGGAUAUAUAAUAAACUGCACAUAUUUAACAUGUGAACUAUGAUAAUUUUUGACAUUUAUAUACAGAUGGGAACCUAUCCAUCAUCUCCAAAUUUUCCUCAUGCAACUUUGUAACCCCGUCUUUCCUGUUAAUCCCUGCUGCCUUUCUCCAACCUCAAACCAAGGCAAAUACUGAUAUGCUUUCUGUGACAAUAGAUCAGUUUAAAUAUUCUGGAAAUUUAUAUAGAUGGAAUCAAACAAUACACAUUCUUUUCUGUCUUCUUUCUUUCACUCAGCGUAAUUAUUUUGCGAUUAAUCCAUGUAGCUGUGUGUAUUUUUGCUUAUUCAUUUCUAUGGCUGAAACGUUUUCCACUGUAUGGAUAUACCAGAUUUUCUUUAUCCAUACCCUUGUUGAUGUACAUUUUGGUUGUUUCUAUAUUUUUUGCAAUUAUGAGUAAAUCUGUUAUGAAUAUUUGUGUAUAGUUCUUUGCAUCACACAUGUUUUCAUGUCUCUUGGAUAAAUACCAAGGUUUAGAACGGAUUGAUCAUGUGGUAGUAAAUGUUUAGCUUUUCACGAAUCUGCUAAAUUGUUUCCCAAAAUGAUUGUGCCAUUUACAUUCUGACCAGAAGUGUAAUAGUGUUCCAGUGAGCUACAUCCUCACGGACACAAUAUCAGCAGUAUUUUCAAUUUUAGACCUUCUAAUAAGUACACAGUAGAAUCUAAUUGUGAUAUAGCAUUUCCCUAAUGACUAAGCAUCUUUUCAUGUGCUUAUUUGCCACCCCUAUAUCUUCUUUGAUGAAGUGUCUGUUCAAAUCUUUUGCUUGUUUUUUUA
Molecule: long non-coding RNA, 2554 nt
Organism: Mesoplodon densirostris (Blainville's beaked whale)
Lineage: Eukaryota; Metazoa; Chordata; Mammalia; Artiodactyla; Ziphiidae
Exons: 3
Source: RefSeq, a predicted model, not a curated record